Hevea brasiliensis (rubber tree) is the source of this 1717-nucleotide long non-coding RNA. RefSeq lists it as uncharacterized. Lineage: Eukaryota; Viridiplantae; Streptophyta; Magnoliopsida; Malpighiales; Euphorbiaceae. The transcript has 3 exons. The record is from RefSeq and is a predicted model, not a curated record.
CUCCCUCUAUUAUAAUAUCCGACAGUUCUUUAGAUUUUGCAAUGACACAAGCUUCCCAACAAGCUAAGGCUUCUAGAAUAAGCAGAUCAGAAAUGCAGGAGAAUUGCUUGCAGGACCAACCAAUGGUAAACAUGAUUAACAGUUUCACAGGACCUGGGGUCAACUAAUGAAGACUGGUUAUCAAAAUUCUCGGUUUGCACAUCAGGUUGAGAGAUUUGCUUGCCUCUAUACUAGUCAAGUUUCCAAUUUAAGGCUGUAUUCCCCUGACAAAUGUUACAGACCAAGUGAAGACUCCAUGCCACAUGAAUUUGGUAUUCUUUUUUAGGGAGACCAGUUUGGCUGCUGGCUUACUUUUUGAGGGAGCUUAAUCCAUUCAUACAUACAAAUCUAGUUGUUUUAGCUUAAAUUUGCUCUGCUCUGUAGUUAAAUCACACAUACAAAUCUGUAUUGAUGAUAUGAUUGCUUGUAAUUGUACAGUAUACAAAUAUUAAACAUUUUAACUUGCCCUCAUACGAUGCCUGAGUAGGUGAUUGUUGCAUCUCACGUCCUAUUUGGGUAUAAAAAGAAAAACGUACAUGAAAGAAACCUGUUUAUUAAAAUAAUUUUUUUAAAUAAAAAUGACGUAUUAUAUAUUUAUUAAUAAAUAUUUUUUUAAAUAAAAAUAAUAAAUUAUAUAUAAAUAUGAAGGAAAAUGCAUAUGCUCCGAAUAGUUUCGCGGUUGUACAAAUGGAAGGAUGGAUUAUGUGUACCUAGGUGGAGCUGCCAAAUUUACGUUUCGCAAUCGAAACGGGACGUUUAGGAAGCGUCGGGAAAUAGUAAAACGGUGCGUGCAAACUGCAAACCAAUGCAUCCUUUUGCUUUAUAUAUUCCCUGGGCCUCCUAUCCCUAAUCGGCGGCCAAUAAAAACGUAUCAAAGACACAGAUCACAGAAGAGGAGGAAGAAGAAGAAGAAGACGACGACGACGACGAUUCGGUGGGCUUUGCUGAUUGACCAUUUCUUCGAUUAUAAUUCCAACCUCAUAUAUAAUUACUCCUUUAGCAGAUUUUGAGUCUUGCUGAUUGAAAAUGCUGAAUUUUACAACGAUCUUCUGCAAUCUUUCUGAAGGUUAGAGAGCUUGUCUCCAAUGUUCCUGUGUACGCAAGCAUUACAGAUGGCUCUGCAGGUGGAUUAAGCUUGAUUUUGAGUCGUUGGGCUACCAAGAAGACGGCUGGAUCUACCUAGAAUGGACGAGAUUCAAAACCAAAGAAUCUUGGAGUGAAGAAAUUUGGCGGGGAGAUAACUUCGUUGGUGAUAGAAAUCGCUGGCCUUUUGUUAUGCUAGAGCAUGCAAUUUUUGUUUUGAUUUGCUUGAUCGAUUUUUAUACAGAGGGUGAUACCUGGAAAUAUCAUAGUUCGGCAGGGGGGAGCUCGUUUUCACCCUGGAAACUACUUUGGGAUGGGGAAGGAUCACACCCUUUAUGCUCUAAAGGAAGGAAAUGUCAAGUUUGAGACGCACAAGCUUAGCGGCCGCAAAUGGGUGCAUGUUGAAGCCAAGGAUGGAUAUGAGCUUCACCCAGUGUAUGCGAAAGCAAGUGCUGCUUUGUCGCAGCUCAAGACAGCCUCUUGAAUUGUAUUUUUGGAUGCGUCUACCAUAACUUGGUUUUUCAUAUUGGAAGAAUAACUAAAACAGUCUUGUUAGAAUGCAAUUGCAAAUAAACCUGUUAGAAAUUAUUAGUUU